This 78-nucleotide small nuclear RNA is filed under the name Notamacropus eugenii (tammar wallaby). The record is from RNAcentral. Lineage: Eukaryota; Metazoa; Chordata; Mammalia; Diprotodontia; Macropodidae.
GUGCUCACUUUGGCAGUACACAUAUUAAAUUAGGAAUAAUAUUGAGAAGAUUACUAUGGUCCUUGAAUAAGAAUGACA